This is a long non-coding RNA of Onychostoma macrolepis, 931 nucleotides long. RefSeq lists it as uncharacterized. The transcript has 3 exons. The record is from RefSeq and is a predicted model, not a curated record. NCBI's taxonomy places the organism in Eukaryota, Metazoa, Chordata, Actinopteri, Cypriniformes, Cyprinidae.
UAGAUUGUGAACAUUAAUAUUUAAAAUGGGUAAAUUAUUACACAAAUAAUGUGUAAUAACUUAUUUAUCUUUAAUUUGGGCAGAUCUGCUCCUCCUCCAGUGAAGCUCCUCCCACAACAAGCACACCUUCAGUGAAGCUCCUCCCACAACAAGCACACCUUCAGUGAAGCACCUCCCACAACAAGCACACCUUCAGUGAAGCUCCUCCCACAACAAGCACACCUUCAGUGAAGCACCUCCCACAACAAGCACAUCUUCAGUGAAGCUCCUCCCACAAUAAGCACACCUUCAGUGAAGCUCCUCCCACUGCAGUUCAGCAAUAAAUGCUGGAAUAUUCCCAUCAGUCUACAAGUGAAGACGAGCAUCAGAGCAUCAGGAAGAAGUGAAAUCUGCAGAGACAGAGUUUAUUGAAGGACAGAGAGAACAUGAGAGAUCCAGAACCCUGCAGAAUGAAGCACACUGAAGAACAAACAGACAAGGCUUAAAUUAGUCCCUAAAGGCUAAAAUGCAUGGCUUUACUGAAAAGAAGAAAAGACAAGAAAAGGUUCACCUGCACUCAGUGUGGAAAGAGUUUCACAUACAAACAGCAUCUCAGUGUUCACAUGAGGAUCCACACUGGAGAGAAACCGUUCACAUGUGAUCAGUGCGAGAAGAGUUUCACACAACAAGGACACCUUCAGAGACACAUGAUCAUCCACACUGGAGAGAAACUGCAUGAAUGUGAUCAAUGCGGUAAAACAUUUUUGAGGGCUUCAGUCCUGAAGGAGCACCUGAACAUUCAUACGAAGGAGAAACCACAUUCAUGUUCUUUGUGUGGAAAGAGUUUUUCACAUCUGCAGAGUUUAAAAGUUCAUCAGAAGAUACACACCGGUGUGAGAUCAUAUGUGCUUUGAGUACGCAGUAGUGAAGCUCUUCUGUGGAUCUUCACCUG